UACGUAGGGUGCGAGCGUUGUCCGGAAUUAUUGGGCGUAAAGAGCUUGUAGGCGGUUUGUCGCGUCUGCUGUGAAAAUCCGGGGCUCAACCCCGGACUUGCAGUGGGUACGGGCAGACUAGAGUGUGGUAGGGGAGACUGGAAUUCCUGGUGUAGCGGUGAAAUGCGCAGAUAUCAGGAGGAACACCAAUUGCGAAGGCAGCUCGCUGGGACGUUACUGACGCUGAGGAGCGAAAGCGUGGGGAGCGAACAGG
This 253-nucleotide ribosomal RNA is filed under the name uncultured bacterium. RNAcentral's name for it is "partial 16S ribosomal RNA". It matches the Rfam family "Bacterial small subunit ribosomal RNA", at positions 524 to 776 of the family's 1533-position model. The record is from RNAcentral.